Quercus lobata is the source of this 954-nucleotide long non-coding RNA. RefSeq lists it as uncharacterized. The transcript is spliced from 2 exons. NCBI's taxonomy places the organism in Eukaryota, Viridiplantae, Streptophyta, Magnoliopsida, Fagales, Fagaceae. The record is from RefSeq and is a predicted model, not a curated record.
UUAUCUCUUCAGGUCACUAGCCAACCUAAUAUAACAUAGCAAAAAAAGAACCAACCCAACAUAACCCAUCAAAAUGCAGGCAGUUUUGUAUCUUGCAUCACCCUUUCCUCCGUAACAACCACCAAAUUUGUGGCCGGUGGUGAAACCUAGUGUGAAGAUUGUGAACCAGUUCCUAUUUGGGAGAGGCAUGUGGAACCAAGCGUGAGCCAAAAAAUUCACAAAGUUGGUUUUUGCAUUCAAAAUCUUACUUUCUUUUGUCUAUGUUAGUAUGGGAGUCUCUCGAGUUUCAACUCCGGACUCCCCAUUAGCCAAAUAGUGAAUGAAUGAGGGAGAGAGAGAGAGAGAGAGAGCCGGUUCACAAUCUUCACACUUGGUUCCACCACCUAUGCUUGCCAUGUACAUGCAGGUCCAUGCCAAGACCACAGAGUCCCUGAUGUACCCCAAUCAGAACUACUGGGGACCCUUCAGCCAUUGAUUACUGCUUCAUAACUUCUGUUUUUCCAGCAGAGGCUUUUGAGUUGUGAGACAGUUGGGGGAGAAGCUUGUGAUGCCGAAAUGUAUCCUGAAGUGAAGAUCAAACCAGAGGUGAAAUACAAAACAGCCAACACUUCUUCAGAGGCUGUUGAACGAGAGUAUUUUGAGCACAAUGAGCCUAAGAAGUGAGAUCUUAUGAUCAGAUCUGCAAUUUAAGAAUUUUAAUUUGCAAUGACAUAUCAGCAGAGGCUUGUGAUGAUCUUAUCUGUGAACCUGAGUGAUGAAAACUUCGAUUUCCAACCACACAUAAACAAAGGGAAGGUUGUGAUGUGGAUAGAUCGAUAAGGGUCAUCUACUCAUCUUCUAUUUUUCUUUCUUGGUUUUGUUGUUGACGUUUAUCUUGUGAAUAACUAUAACUUGCAGUGUAUUAAAUUUUUUGAAAUAAUGAUGAUGCACUUGACUUAGAAGCUAAUUAUGAAA